GAUGAACGCUGACAGAAUGCUUAACACAUGCAAGUCAACUUGAACUUCGGUUUGGGUGGCGGACGGGUGAGUAACGCGUAAAGAACUUGCCUCACAGAUAGGGACAACAUUUGGAAACGAAUGCUAAUACCUGAUAUUAUGAUUUUAGGGCAUCCUAGGAUUAUGAAAGCUAUAUGCGCUGUGAGAGAGCUUUGCGUCCCAUUAGCUAGUUGGAGAGGUAACGGCUCACCAAGGCGAUGAUGGGUAGCCGGCCUGAGAGGGUGAUCGGCCACAAGGGGACUGAGACACGGCCCUUACUCCUACGGGAGGAAGCAGUGGGGAAUAUUGGACAAUGGACCAAGAGUCUGAUCCAGCAAUUCUGUGUGCACGAUGAAGUUUUUCGGAAUGUAAAGUGCUUUCAGUUGGGAAGAAAAAAAUGACGGUACCAACAGAAGAAGUGACGGCUAAAUACGUG
Molecule: ribosomal RNA, 454 nt
Filed under: uncultured bacterium
Lineage: Bacteria
Description: partial 16S ribosomal RNA
Rfam family: Bacterial small subunit ribosomal RNA
Source: RNAcentral